GAGGUUUUGAAACGGGGAGUGCUUUGGGCGGUGGAGAAGCGACAUUCGUCGCCGAUCAAACACCACUCGGAGGUUGCUGGUGCGGUGGGGAAAGGAGAUGGUAAAGGAGAAUUGAACGAUUCGUCAGUGGUGGUGUCUGAUACGGUUGGAUUAUUUAUGAUAGGUCGCCGAUUUCUCGAUUUAGGUCGGCCUGGAUCGAUCUCCACAAUCUUAGGACUAUCUUCAAAUCCGGCAAUCGCCGAAUCCAAAUGAGACGAGGCUGAGAGUCUCCGGCUGUGUAACGAACCGGUGUGUUCACUUCUACUCUCUUCAAACCUCUCCUGAAAUCAAUUUCUUUUAUAUAAGUUUGAAUUUCAAUAGAAUCAAUCAAUCAAGUAAAGACAUGUUGUUUUCGUUUACCAUUGAUGAUCUCGGUCGGAUUUCUGAAUAGUAUCUCGUCUGAUAUUUGACAGGAAUAGCAUCGGCACCAGCUGAUCUAUGUGCUCUCACGGUGUUCUGAGCUCUGAUCAGAGCUUGCAUACUGUGCAGAGUCGCUGCGGCUUGCUUUCUCACCAGAUAACCACGAAACAAAGCUUGUAACUUCAC
RNAcentral lists this long non-coding RNA (585 nucleotides) under Zostera marina. RNAcentral describes it as "long non-coding RNA (ZMAR_LNC004967)". The record is from RNAcentral. Lineage: Eukaryota; Viridiplantae; Streptophyta; Magnoliopsida; Alismatales; Zosteraceae.